Long non-coding RNA from Helianthus annuus (common sunflower), 1753 nucleotides. RefSeq lists it as uncharacterized. Lineage: Eukaryota; Viridiplantae; Streptophyta; Magnoliopsida; Asterales; Asteraceae. The record is from RefSeq and is a predicted model, not a curated record. The transcript has 4 exons.
CAUAGUUCUCUACAAUUCCUCUUUCUCUCUUAACCUAAUUCCACAUUUCCACCCGCAAUUCAUCAGAUCCUCAUCAAAUCAUCCGAUCGUUUUACACUUUCUUCGGUUCACGCUAUCAAAUCUCAUGAUUUCACCCGAUCAAACACAUCGGAUUGCAUGAAUUCGUUGAUUAGAUAGCUAUACGAUGCAUGCAGAUGAAGAAUUUGUGAUUGAUUGAUCUCCCCCCAUCACGCCGCUAUGCUCUUCUCACGUACGCUUACAUCAGUUACUUGGAUGCAGUUUGGAUAACUAGAUUUGGCAUUGGCGAUGUGAUUAAAAAGUGUCGCUUUACAUCGGUCGUGAGGCUAUAAAGGUAUCCAUCCAUCCAUAAUAUUGUUAUUAAAUAUAAUAAUAUUAUACUUGUGGAUCUGUUUCCCAUUUAAUGUUUUAAAAGCUAUGGAAAGGAAUUAAUGCAAAAACCACAACUGAAAUCGAUCUUCUUGCGGACAACUGGAAGUAUAUUUUCAUGGGUUGAAUUUAUCAGGUCUACUCAACUCAACUUCCAUAUCGAAAUUACCUUAUAUUGAUAGAAAUAAUUUUCACCGUUUAGUUAUCGUAAAUUUUUAAUGUUAUUUUGACACUAAUGUUAAAAAUACAAAAAAAUGGUGAACAUGAACUUGAAAGUUGUUUUGACCAAGAGGUACCAGUACUUGUACUUCAACUAAAUCCUACACGAUUCUAAAGUUGGACAUAAAUUAGCAUCUAUGAUUGAUGAACGAACUUAGAAAUUCAUAUUAUUUGUGAGGUAAUAAGUAGCUUCAGGAUUAGAUUUAUUUGGAAUAUACAUUUGCACUAGCUCAGAAGAUCUUAGACCACCAAGGUAAUCUUUAUUUUUAUAAUUUAAUUGUUUGUUUCACCCGUUUGAUCUGGUUUAGAUAAAUACACCCAUAAUUGACACUUUUAUAACCAGAUGAGUUGGAGUUAAACCAAUGUCCUACAUAAACAAACUUGUAUUAGCUAAUUUCAUAAUGUUCCAGUGUGUUAGGGUCAUAAGCAAACAAAAUAUAAAUUGCAAAUGGGCCUCAGAUUUUUACUUUGCUUUGGGCUUCUAAAAUGGUUGAGCUAGACUUGGCUUAUUUGGUUUUUUUUUUUGAACAACAACUUGGCUUAUUUGGUUGAUUCCAAUGUUUCUAUCAAGCCAUCUCAUUUAAGUAGCUCUCCUACCUAACUUACAAAGAAAACAAAUAAGGUAAGAACUGAGUGCUGAAGGCUAAGUUCUUUUCACCAAUUUUGAUCUAAAUUAUGUUUCUUUUUUCUUUCUUUUGGUUUCAAGCAGUCAAUCCUUCAAUAGCAAUUAAGCCUUUGCAACCAGAUCACAAGAAGCAUACGGAUGACGACGGCUCUUGUUCAGUAGCAUCCUCGUAUCCAUAUCUUUGUUUGUUUCCUUUUGCUUGGUUUUCUUUUUUUGUUUUGCCCUUGUUCGACUUCUUAGCCAUACUAACGAACUGCUGCAUCAGCAAGGACAUGAUUUUCAAGCCAGCUUCUGCAUCGGCCUCAGUGUUCUACUUCCUAAGAGGGUAUAUAUCGUGAGAAGCUUUGGAACUUUUUUAUGAAACUGAAAUUCUCACCCAAAAGAACGUUUAGGCUUCUCAUAUAAAGAUUUGGAAUUUGGAAUGUUACUUAUUACACAACGUUUGGUUAACAUUUGGAAUAUCUUUCGGAUCUAAUUUUUUAUUGAAGUUAUAAUAUUAUGAUUCCUACAUUUACAUUUUUA